Long non-coding RNA from Melospiza melodia melodia, 1058 nucleotides. RefSeq lists it as uncharacterized. The transcript has 2 exons. The record is from RefSeq and is a predicted model, not a curated record. NCBI's taxonomy places the organism in Eukaryota, Metazoa, Chordata, Aves, Passeriformes, Passerellidae.
GAUCACACUUUGGGCUACUGGGAGCAAGUGAGAGAGACUGGGAUGAUGCUGCAAGCAAACUGGAGAAACUGGGAAGGACUGGAUGCAUGCUGGAGGCAACUGGGAUAUACUGGGCAUGACUGGGGGAUCAUUCUGAGAGAACUGACACCUUACUGGGGCCACUGGCAGUGCCUGGAAAUGACUACAGACAUGCUGGGGACAACUGGGAUAUACUGGGAGUGACUGUCACCAUACUGGGGGGACUGGAACCACACUGGGAACAACUGGGACCAUGCUGGGGAGAACGGGGCCCACACUGGGGGCAACUGGGAGUGAGUGGGUAUAGUAGGAGUCCUAGUAAAAUCUAUGUAUUGUAUAAGUGGCCGUGCCCUGAUCCUAAUUGUAAAUGGGCUGCAGCUGUGAUGUCCUUAAUUGGGUGGCUGCUGUGGCUAAUGAAGAUAACUGGGAUAAAAGGGAGUGGGGUGGCUGUGCAGGGAGAGUCUUGGAGGAGCCCUGACCAAGAAGCAGGAGCAACACUGCUGUGAAGAGCUGUGUGUGAGAAGAGCACCCUGAAGCUUUGGAAUAUAUAUAAAGGAAAUAUGCUUAUCUCACGCCUUAUUGAAGCAGAGAAAAGCAGCUUGAGAAAGGAAGAUGAACAUCACCUCAAGGGUUUAUGGUUUCAACCAAAGGGAAGCUGGACAUCACUGUUAUGAGAUUUAUAGUCUCUGCAAUUAAAAGGUGGACACACAUCUGGGGAGCUGGACCCCACCAGAUGGGAUUUGUCUUUCUUCUUUCGGAAACUAGACCAUCAACAUCUGGGGAUACUCCUUUGAGAUACAUCCUGAGAAAUUAAAAUCACAAUAGUGUAUAGAAUUGUGGUGUAAUAAUUUGGAAUAAAAAUUGCUGAUGAGUAAAAGAUUAGAAAUAGAAACUACUGAAAAAAGCUGAUGACUACCCCUAUAAAUACCUGUAACCAUCAAUUAUCGGCGUACAGUUAGAGAGAAAACUUCCCCCACUGUACCCGGCGCUGUAUUGCUCAUACUUUACCAUAUUAAAAAAUAAAUUGAUUGCUGCUUGAA